GAUGAACGCUGGCGGCGUGCCUAAUACAUGCAAGUCGAGCGAACGGACGAGAAGCUUGCUUCUCUGAUGUUAGCGGCGGACGGGUGAGUAACACGUGGAUAACCUACCUAUAAGACUGGGAUAACUUCGGGAAACCGGAACUAAUACCGGAUAAUAUUUUGAACCGCAUGGUUCAAAAGUGAAAGACGGUCUUGCUGUCACUUAUACAUGGAUCCGCGCUGCAUUAGCUAGUUGGUAAGGUAACGGCUUACCAAGGCAACGAUGCAUAGCCGACCUGAGAGGGUGAUCGGCCACACUAGAACUGAGACACGGUCCAGACUCCUACGGGAGGCAGCAGUAGGGAGUCUUCCGCAAUGGGCGAAUGCCUGACUGAGCAACGCCGCGUGAGUGAUGAAGGUCUUCUGAUCGUAAAACUCUGUUAUUAGGGAAGAACAUAUGUGUAAGUAACUGUGCACAUCUUGACGGUACCUAAUCAGAAAGCCACGGCUAACUACGUG
Molecule: ribosomal RNA, 497 nt
Filed under: uncultured bacterium
Lineage: Bacteria
Description: partial 16S ribosomal RNA
Rfam family: Bacterial small subunit ribosomal RNA
Source: RNAcentral